RNAcentral lists this ribosomal RNA (465 nucleotides) under uncultured bacterium. RNAcentral's name for it is "partial 16S ribosomal RNA". It matches the Rfam family "Bacterial small subunit ribosomal RNA", at positions 28 to 507 of the family's 1533-position model. The record is from RNAcentral.
GACGAACGCUGGCGGCGUGCUUAACACAUGCAAGUCGAACGGAAAGGCCCUGCUUGCAGGGUACUCGAGUGGCGAACGGGUGAGUAACACGUGGGUGAUCUGCCCUGCACUUCGGGUUAAGCCUGGGAAACUGGGUCUAAUACCGGAUAGGAGCCAUUUUUAGUGUGAUGGUUGGAAAGUUUUUUCGGUGUAGGAUGAGCUCGCGGGCUAUCAGCUUGUUGGUGGGGUAAUGGCCUACCAAGGCGGCGGCGGGUAGCCGGCCUGAGAGGGUGGCCGGCCACAUUGGGACUGAGAUGCGGCCCAGACUCCGACUGGAGGCAGCAGUGGGGAAUAUUGCACGAUGGGCGCAAGCCUGAUGCAGCGACGCCGCGUGUGGGAUGACGGCCUUCGGGUUGUAAACUCCUUUCGCUAGGGACGAAGCUUUUUGUGACGGUACCUAGAUAAGAAGCACCGGCUAACUACGUG